GUCUACGGCCGUACCACCCUGAACACGCCCGAUCUCGUCUGACCUUGGACGCUAAGCAGGGUCGGGCCUGGUUAGUACUUGGAUGGGAGAUAAGCGAUCUAGCCA
RNAcentral lists this ribosomal RNA (105 nucleotides) under Erinaceus europaeus (western European hedgehog). The record is from RNAcentral. Lineage: Eukaryota; Metazoa; Chordata; Mammalia; Eulipotyphla; Erinaceidae.